AUGUAUAAUCUUUUUGCUAAUUCAUCAUUAGAAUUCUAAUAAUUCUAGUAACUAAUAAAAAUUUUUGCUAAUUCAUCACUAGAAUUCUCCACAAUGUUCAUUCCUUUUGUACCUUAACAUUAUAACCCUCGUGGUAAAUGUCGCAUCCAGAUCUAGAUGUAGAUAUAGACUUUCCAAAGGUACAGCAAAUGUAUUUUAAAAUUAGAUGUAAAUGAAUGAAGGGUAAACGGUUGAGUUUGCACUGAUUCUAUUGUCGAGUGGUGGCGCCAUUGAG
Long non-coding RNA from Amblyraja radiata (thorny skate), 274 nucleotides. RefSeq lists it as uncharacterized. The record is from RefSeq and is a predicted model, not a curated record. Lineage: Eukaryota; Metazoa; Chordata; Chondrichthyes; Rajiformes; Rajidae. The transcript has 3 exons.